Molecule: ribosomal RNA, 447 nt
Filed under: uncultured bacterium
Lineage: Bacteria
Description: bacterial SSU rRNA
Rfam family: Bacterial small subunit ribosomal RNA
Source: RNAcentral
UCGGGAAUUUUGGGCAAUGGGCGAAAGCCUGACCCAGCAACGCCGCGUGAAGGAUGAAGUAUUUCGGUAUGUAAACUUCGUAAGAAUAGGAAGAAUAAAUGACGGUACUAUUUGUAAGGUCCGGCUAACUACGUGCCAGCAGCCGCGGUAAUACGUAGGGACCAAGCGUUGUUCGGAUUUACUGGGCGUAAAGGGCGCGUAGGCGGUUUGUCAAGUCAGUUGUGAAAUCUCCGAGCUUAACUCGGAACGGUCAACUGAUACUGUCAAACUAGAGUACAGAAGGGGCAAUCGGAAUUCUUGGUGUAGCGGUGAAAUGCGUAGAUAUCAAGAGGAACACCUGAGGCGAAGGCGGGUUGCUGGGCUGAUACUGACGCUGAAGUGCGAAAGCUAGGGUAGCAAACGGGAUUAGAUACCCACGUAGUCCCUGAGCGGGCUGGCAAGGCGCAU